UACCAGCCCCGCGAGUGGACGGGACGGUUAUUGGGCCUAAAGCGCCCGUAGCCGGCCUAGCAAGUCUCCGCGGAAAUCCCCGGGCUCAACCCGGGGGCAAGCGGAGAUACUGCUAGGCUAGGGGGCGGGAGAGGCCGGGGGUACUCCCGGGGUAGGGGCGAAAUCCUAUAAUCCCGGGAGGACCACCAGUGGCGAAGGCGCCCGGCUGGAACGCGCCCGACGGUGAGGGGCGAAAGCCGGGGGAGCGAACCGG
This 253-nucleotide ribosomal RNA is filed under the name uncultured archaeon. RNAcentral describes it as "partial 16S ribosomal RNA". It matches the Rfam family "Archaeal small subunit ribosomal RNA", at positions 474 to 727 of the family's 1478-position model. The record is from RNAcentral.